RNAcentral lists this ribosomal RNA (673 nucleotides) under Inocybe nitidiuscula. RNAcentral describes it as "eukaryotic LSU rRNA". It matches the Rfam family "Eukaryotic large subunit ribosomal RNA", at positions 1 to 653 of the family's 3401-position model. The record is from RNAcentral. Lineage: Eukaryota; Fungi; Basidiomycota; Agaricomycetes; Agaricales; Inocybaceae.
UUGACCUCAAAUCAGGUAGGACUACCCGCUGAACUUAAGCAUAUCAAUAAGCGGAGGAAAAGAAACUAACAAGGAUUCCCCUAGUAACUGCGAGUGAAGCGGGAAGAGCUCAAAUUUGAAAUCUGGCGGUUCUUGACCGUCCGAGUUGUAAUCUAGAGAAGUGCUACCUGUGCUGGACCGUGUACAAGUCUCCUGGAAUGGAGCAUCACAGAGGGUGAGAAUCCCGUCUUUGACAUGGACUGCCUGUACGUCAUGGUGCGCUCUCGAAGAGUCGAGUUGUUUGGGAAUGCAGCUCAAAAUGGGUGGUAAAUGCCAUCUAAAGCUAAAUAUUGGCGAGAGACCGAUAGCGAACAAGUACCGUGAGGGAAAGAUGAAAAGAACUUUGGAAAGAGAGUUAAACAGUACGUGAAAUUGCUGAAAGGGAAACGCUUGAAGUCAGUCGCGUCGGCUAGAAAUCAGCCUUGCUUUUGCUUGGUGUACUUUCUUGUUGACGGGUCAGCAUCAAUUUCGACCGUCGGACAAAGUCGUCGGGAAUGUGGCAUCUUCGGAUGUGUUAUAGCCUGGCGUCGCAUACGGUGGUUGGGAUUGAGGAACUCAGCACGCCGCAAGGCCGGGUCUCUUUUGACCACGUCCGUGCUUAGGAUGCUGGCAUAAUGGCUUUAAUCGACCCGUC